AUUGAACGCUGGCGGCAUGCCUUACACAUGCAAGUCGAACGGCAGCACGGGUGCUUGCACCUGGUGGCGAGUGGCGAACGGGUGAGUAAUACAUCGGAACAUGUCCUGUAGUGGGGGAUAGCCCGGCGAAAGCCGGAUUAAUACCGCAUACGAUCUACGGAUGAAAGCGGGGGACCUUCGGGCCUUGCGCCAUAGGGUUGGCCGAUGGCUGAUUAGCUAGUUGGUGGGGUAAAGGCCUACCAAGGCACCGUUCAGUAGCUGGUCUGAGAGGACGACCAGCAACACUGGGACUGAGACACGGCCCAGACUCCUACAGGAGGCAGCAGUGGGGAAUUUUGGACAAUGGUCGAAAGCCUGAUCCAGCAAUGCCGCGUGUGUGAAGAAGGCCUUCGGGUUGUAAAGCACUUUUGUCCGGAAAGAAAUCCUUGGCCCUAAUACGGUCGGGGGAUGACGGUACCGGAAGAAUAAGCACCGGCUAACUACGUG
This 486-nucleotide ribosomal RNA is filed under the name uncultured bacterium. RNAcentral describes it as "partial 16S ribosomal RNA". It matches the Rfam family "Bacterial small subunit ribosomal RNA", at positions 30 to 507 of the family's 1533-position model. The record is from RNAcentral.